RNAcentral lists this transfer RNA (61 nucleotides) under Lepidothrix coronata (blue-crowned manakin). It matches the Rfam family "tRNA", at positions 7 to 64 of the family's 71-position model. Rfam says of the family: Transfer RNA (tRNA) molecules are approximately 80 nucleotides in length. Their secondary structure includes four short double-helical elements and three loops (D, anti-codon, and T loops). The record is from Rfam by way of RNAcentral. RNAcentral also lists the same sequence under 1 other name. Lineage: Eukaryota; Metazoa; Chordata; Aves; Passeriformes; Pipridae.
UUAGCUCAGUUGGUUAGAGCACAGUGCUAAUAAUGCCAAGGUUGUGGGUUUGAUUCCCACA